Long non-coding RNA from Sycon ciliatum, 222 nucleotides. RefSeq lists it as uncharacterized. The transcript is spliced from 4 exons. Lineage: Eukaryota; Metazoa; Porifera; Calcarea; Leucosolenida; Sycettidae. The record is from RefSeq and is a predicted model, not a curated record.
AGAUGAGGAUGGUCAUUGUCAUUUUCUCAGCUGUGAACGGGCAGAAAGCUACACAAGGACAUGAUGACGGUCAUUGUCAUUUUCUGAGCUGCGAACGGGCAGAAAGCUACACAAGGACACGAUGACAGUCAUUGUCAUUUGCUGAGCUGCGAACGGGCAGAAAGCUACACAAGGAGAUGAGGAUGGUCAUUGUCAUUUUUUGAGCUGCGAACGGGCAGAAAG